Molecule: small nucleolar RNA, 107 nt
Organism: Gossypium arboreum
Lineage: Eukaryota; Viridiplantae; Streptophyta; Magnoliopsida; Malvales; Malvaceae
Rfam family: Plant small nucleolar RNA R71
About the family: R71 is a member of the C/D box family of snoRNAs containing the C (UGAUGA) and D (CUGA) box motifs. Multiple nearly identical copies of this snoRNA have been identified in Arabidopsis, and it is thought to function as a 2'-O-ribose methylation guide for 18S ribosomal RNA.
Source: Rfam
AGCCCAUGGUGAGGGCACAUUCUCAAUAGAUCCUUGUAUCUCUUCCAUGCAUGACAGAGUGUUUCUAAGUCCAUUUGCACAAAAGAAGAAAUAUCACUCCUUAGUUU